This is a long non-coding RNA of Actinia tenebrosa (Australian red waratah sea anemone), 411 nucleotides long. RefSeq lists it as uncharacterized. NCBI's taxonomy places the organism in Eukaryota, Metazoa, Cnidaria, Anthozoa, Actiniaria, Actiniidae. The record is from RefSeq and is a predicted model, not a curated record.
GUUAACCUUGAGGUUAAAAGCAUCUGGUAAAAAUAAUCGUCGAUGUUUGGCUUGUGGUAAACCAACAGUCUUAAGACACGUACGGAAAUGAUUCACAACUGAAAAGAAAAUAGGAAUAUAAUCUAGGUUGAUCGAGUUUGACCACGAUGACGAAAUAUGGCGACGGACAUGUAGUCUAGUUCGUCAUCCCUGUAGGAAAAAGUCGUCAAGAAGCCGUCUUUCUAUUAUGCACCAUCUUGCAUUAAAAACCUUUUGUUUUUAUAACUCUACUGCUGACAACUCGUGGUUCCGUUAAAAUAGUAUCUACAUAACCUGAUCAGGUCUCAGUGUGAUGUUCAUAGGAGUUUUUCCAGACCCUUUGUGUAAUAUAAUAUUGCUUGAAUAGAAUAAAACCGAAAGUUGGCUUUGCGA